CCCCACCAGCACGGACCCCUCCCCCAACGCCCUUCAUGUCUCCUGUGAGAUGGACGAGUCCAGUGGGACAAAGACGUCCUCAGAGAAGGACGACUCAGACUUCACAUCUCCAGACUCCAGACUAAUGACUCGGGGCUGUACUGGUGUCAAGUGGACACAAGUUAUGGGAAGAACUAUAAGGAAUGUCACCUCAAUGUCACUGCAGUGAAGGAUCGACCCGAACCUGAGACAUCGAGUGACACCAGACUGAGAAGAGAUCCUCGGGGAAGGAUCGUUCUCUACUGUGUACUGGGACUGACAGCAGCUCUACUGGUUCUUUAUUAAUUUUAUCUCUGCAUUACCAAAAAUAUUAGUGAUUACCACAGAAAUUAUACAAAAGUCAAUGGUGACAUGAAGUGUCAGGGAGACUGUGGGUGUAGAGUCCAAUCAGAGGAUCAACAGUUCCAUCCCUGCUGACCCGCGUGUUGAUGAGCCCUUGAGCAAGACACUAACCCAGCAUUGCUGCUCAUCAGUGUGUGAGUGGUUGAAUAACGUAUAUAUUUAUAUAUACCGGUUUAAUUUUUGUGUUCUCUGACUGAGAUUCAAAGGAAAUCCACAGUCUUUACAGACUGAAGUGUUUUUUUUGUUCUAGACCUUCGGCUCCUCUAACAGAGACUCUGACUACUGAACAUAUUCUGCAUUAAGCAUCAUGCUGCUCGUCAUCAAAGACUAAUGUUUCAUCUGGUUCCUGUUCAUAAAGAAAAGGAAACAGAUUAAUAUUCUGUAUGUUAACUUGAUUUUGCUCAGAGUGUCUGUUAGAGUUCUGGUGACGUCACUGUACGUCUGGUCAUUGCGCCUCGCUCCGCAGAAUGAGAAACGUCACCACGUUGUGGUCGUAAAUCAUUUCACUGUCGUAAAGCCUGUAUGAAGAGAAAUAGAGCCUCACGCUGCCCCCUGCUGGCUAAAGGCUGGAGUGCACAUUCUCUAUAAACCCAUUACAGGUCUUUACACAUCCAUCCAUCCAUCGUCAAACCGCUUAUCCUGCACACAGGGUCGCGGGGGGGCUGGAGUCCAUCCCAGCCAACUUCGGGCGAUAGACAGGGUACAUCCUGGAUUGGUCGCCAGCCAAUCGCAGGGCUACACAGAGACAUACAACCAUUCACACUCACAUUCACACAUCUACGGGCAAUUUAAAGUCCCCAAUCAACCUGAUCCCCAGAACAUGUCUUUGGACUGUGGGAGGAAGCCGGAGAACCCGGAGAGAACCCACGCAGACACAGGGAGAACAUGCAGACUCCACACAGAAAGGCCACUGGGCGGAAUCGAAACCAGGACCUUCUUGCUGUGAGGCAACAGUGCUAACCACCACGCCACCGUGCCGCCUGGUCUUUACACAAGUUAUCUUAUUUCUAUAAAAUACACUGUUCACUUGAAACUAUAUUUUUUGUCAAUGACAACAAAACACAUGAAAAAAAUAUGUGUGGCCGUCACAAAUAAAACAAAAACUUUGCACAAUUAAUACAAUUAAAUGCUGUUAAUCACAGAACAGUCAUGCGAUUAAUCAGGUUCAAUUCUUUCAUCUUCACUAAUAAUUACCA
Gasterosteus aculeatus aculeatus (three-spined stickleback) is the source of this 1577-nucleotide long non-coding RNA. The record is from Ensembl. Lineage: Eukaryota; Metazoa; Chordata; Actinopteri; Perciformes; Gasterosteidae.